This 391-nucleotide ribosomal RNA is filed under the name uncultured bacterium. RNAcentral describes it as "bacterial SSU rRNA". It matches the Rfam family "Bacterial small subunit ribosomal RNA", at positions 29 to 417 of the family's 1533-position model. The record is from RNAcentral.
AUUGAACGCUGGCGGCAUGCUUUACACAUGCAAGUCGAACGGCAGCACGGGGGCAACCCUGGUGGCGAGUGGCGAACGGGUGAGUAAUGCAUCGGAACGUACCCAGUCGUGGGGGAUAACGCAGCGAAAGUUGUGCUAAUACCGCAUACGACCUGAGGGUGAAAGCGGGGGACCGUAAGGCCUCGCGCGAUUGGAGCGGCCGAUGUCUGAUUAGCUAGUUGGUGGGGUAAAGGCCCACCAAGGCGACGAUCAGUAGCGGGUCUGAGAGGAUGAUCCGCCACACUGGGACUGAGACACGGCCCAGACUCCUACGGGAGGCAGCAGUGGGGAAUUUUGGACAAUAGGCGGAAAGACCUGAUGGAGACAACGACCGCGUGCAGGAUGAAUAGCC